This 1334-nucleotide ribosomal RNA is filed under the name Escherichia coli. Its description in RNAcentral is "bacterial LSU rRNA". It matches the Rfam family "Bacterial large subunit ribosomal RNA", at positions 911 to 2227 of the family's 2925-position model. The record is from RNAcentral. RNAcentral also lists the same sequence under 1 other name. Lineage: Bacteria; Pseudomonadati; Pseudomonadota; Gammaproteobacteria; Enterobacterales; Enterobacteriaceae.
UGUUUCGGCAAGGGGGUCAUCCCGACUUACCAACCCGAUGCAAACUGCGAAUACCGGAGAAUGUUAUCACGGGAGACACACGGCGGGUGCUAACGUCCGUCGUGAAGAGGGAAACAACCCAGACCGCCAGCUAAGGUCCCAAAGUCAUGGUUAAGUGGGAAACGAUGUGGGAAGGCCCAGACAGCCAGGAUGUUGGCUUAGAAGCAGCCAUCAUUUAAAGAAAGCGUAAUAGCUCACUGGUCGAGUCGGCCUGCGCGGAAGAUGUAACGGGGCUAAACCAUGCACCGAAGCUGCGGCAGCGACGCUUAUGCGUUGUUGGGUAGGGGAGCGUUCUGUAAGCCUGUGAAGGUGUGCUGUGAGGCAUGCUGGAGGUAUCAGAAGUGCGAAUGCUGACAUAAGUAACGAUAAAGCGGGUGAAAAGCCCGCUCGCCGGAAGACCAAGGGUUCCUGUCCAACGUUAAUCGGGGCAGGGUGAGUCGACCCCUAAGGCGAGGCCGAAAGGCGUAGUCGAUGGGAAACAGGUUAAUAUUCCUGUACUUGGUGUUACUGCGAAGGGGGGACGGAGAAGGCUAUGUUGGCCGGGCGACGGUUGUCCCGGUUUAAGCGUGUAGGCUGGUUUUCCAGGCAAAUCCGGAAAAUCAAGGCUGAGGCGUGAUGACGAGGCACUACGGUGCUGAAGCAACAAAUGCCCUGCUUCCAGGAAAAGCCUCUAAGCAUCAGGUAACAUCAAAUCGUACCCCAAACCGACACAGGUGGUCAGGUAGAGAAUACCAAGGCGCUUGAGAGAACUCGGGUGAAGGAACUAGGCAAAAUGGUGCCGUAACUUCGGGAGAAGGCACGCUGAUAUGUAGGUGAAGUCCCUCGCGGAUGGAGCUGAAAUCAGUCGAAGAUACCAGCUGGCUGCAACUGUUUAUUAAAAACACAGCACUGUGCAAACACGAAAGUGGACGUAUACGGUGUGACGCCUGCCCGGUGCCGGAAGGUUAAUUGAUGGGGUCAGCGCAAGCGAAGCUCUUGAUCGAAGCCCCGGUAAACGGCGGCCGUAACUAUAACGGUCCUAAGGUAGCGAAAUUCCUUGUCGGGUAAGUUCCGACCUGCACGAAUGGCGUAAUGAUGGCCAGGCUGUCUCCACCCGAGACUCAGUGAAAUUGAACUCGCUGUGAAGAUGCAGUGUACCCGCGGCAAGACGGAAAGACCCCGUGAACCUUUACUAUAGCUUGACACUGAACAUUGAGCCUUGAUGUGUAGGAUAGGUGGGAGGCUUAGAAGUGUGGACGCCAGUCUGCAUGGAGCCGACCUUGAAAUACCACCCUUUAAUGUUUGAUGUUCUAACG